UAAAAUUAAGGUAAUCUGUUAUGUUAAAAAGAUUAUAGACAAGUGCCUAAGCAUUAUCUAAUAAGUGUACAACCAUGUGUAAAUAUUUGUACAAUCUAACCAGCUCAGUUCCUACACUAUAAAACUUCUAGAUGAUCUUAUUUCCACACCAAAUUUGUAAAUAAAAAAAAACAGUAUUAAGGGACCCUUACAGCCCAACCUACAAUAACCACUGACGCAGGCAGGACCAUGAACAUAGAG
RNAcentral lists this long non-coding RNA (240 nucleotides) under Mytilus galloprovincialis (Mediterranean mussel). The record is from RNAcentral. Lineage: Eukaryota; Metazoa; Mollusca; Bivalvia; Mytilida; Mytilidae.